RNA transcript from Cucurbita moschata (crookneck pumpkin), 2556 nucleotides. RefSeq lists it as uncharacterized. The record is from RefSeq and is a predicted model, not a curated record. Lineage: Eukaryota; Viridiplantae; Streptophyta; Magnoliopsida; Cucurbitales; Cucurbitaceae. The transcript has 2 exons.
AAAACGCUGCCAUUGCGACCACUCACUCCGACUUCCACCAUUACCGUCGUUCAAUCCUCCGCCAGAACGUUAGCGUUUCGUUUUUUCCGAUCAUCAACUCAGAUUCAAUUCACAGCUUCUUCAAGGGGUUUCUUUCUGGCUCUCUGUUCCGCCCUGCUUUCGUUUGGUUUUCUGUUAAUUUGCUAGUGUAAUUCGAGCUCAAAUUUCACUCAAAUUGAUGCGGUGGGAACCUUAAUGUUCUGGUUUCUUUUUGAGAAAUUUUAGGUGACGGACUCGAUUAUUCUUCUGUUUCUCGCUUUACGAGUUGCGAAACCUUGGCGUUCAAGUUCGUAGGUUAUUUUAAAUUUUAGUUUGAAUUUGGUGCUUUGAAUUAGAAGUACAAAAUGAUUAUAUAUCGUUCGCCGGUAACAUUUUUCUUUAUGCUUCCUCGUAUUACUUGCAACCACCAGAAUUCUACUUUGUUUUGAUAGCCGCUAAGUUUCGGGACCUAAGGUUGUUCUGAUCAGUUGAGCUGGACCUUACGAGUGACAGAUGAAGACGAAAUGGAAGAUGGAUCUUUUAGGCAAUCAAGGAAUUGGAAGAACGAUUGUUAAAAAAUCAUCACUAGGACAUAGGAUCAAGCCCAAUAUAAUUGUACGAGCCAAUGUCUAUAAAUAUUUAGACAUUUUAGAAAUAAAUCUACAAGUUUUUGAUCCCAAGCGUAAUAUCUACAGAGUUGUGUUCAACAACCAUUCGAGGUUCUUGGAGAAAUGAAUGACCGUGUUUCAGCGAGGGAAUCAGAGCUCGUGCUUGUGUGCUUCUCUCAGGAAGGGAGAGAUUUAUGGUGUGCUCUUGAGGCUUUAGCUCUUCAAUCAUUGUUUACUAGCUUUGGAUGUCAUAUUUUGAAUCCUCAAUUUCUGAUCAUUGAGAUUGCUUAGUCUACCUUCUUUAAUCUACUCCUCUAGUUUACUCAUUUAGGUGGUUAGUAUCUUGAUCUUAUUGGAUUUUGAUUAUGAUCACUGUAUUGAGACCAGAUUUUUGUUGUGGUGACUUUCUUCAAUGUGAUAAAGGAUAUUUUCUGGCGUUGUGUUUGUGUAGUCACAAUUGAAGGGGUUCUGGAAGAACUGUGCAAGUUUUUAACAUAGAGCUAGAUGGGCGUCCACUUGGGAUGAUGUAUGGUUAAGCUGCAUUCUAAUAUGGGUUGAUGGUGACUAGGGGUGCAGAGAAAAUGCUGCUGCAUCGUAGACUAUCUGGAUUAAACCCAGAGGUAUACGGCUACCUCAUCGCCAUGACUGUUUUGGUUAAAGAGUUUAAUGAAUUAGCAAAAGCUCUACACAAACUCGAAGUUGUGCAAGAGAGGGGAUAGUGGCUGAACUCGAAAAAGACAACAUUGAACUUGUUGAGUGGCAUCAGACAGAUUUUAGCUGAUGGUGUACAGUUAUCCAACUGGGUUCUUGAAGGGGUAAGCUCUUCAAUUCAUGGGGUGGUUCAUGAAAGACUCUUAAUGUAUGUUUCUGCUGAGCAAGGACUUGAGGCAGAGAGAUAGCUUUGGGAAACGAAGCUUGUAGGUAAGGAGGCUGAUGCUAAUCUCUAUGAUAUUGUGCUAGCUAGCCAUUUCUGUAUAAAUUGUACAAGGAAAAUAGAUAUUCUUAAAUCCUUAGUGCAGGCUCUCGUUUCUUCAGUGUCUCAAGGGUGAAGAAUCUGGUUUUCGCUGUGAAUCAAAUGCUAGAUUGAAAAAGGAAAAAAACAGUCUACUUUUUGUAGGUGGAUCGGGUCAAAUGAGAAUCAGAAUAAGACAACCAAAUAGAAAAAGGAGAAGAUCAAGUGAAUUGGGCCGGCUGUUUAAAGAAAGAGGUUGUGAAGCCUUGCUCGUGAACUCCGGAAUGUUAUGUUUGACAGCACCUUGGAUGUGGCCUUCAGAAGACAACACAUGGUCUGUCCCUUCGUUGGAUAUCCAGGUUUUACACCAUUCCAUUAUUACAAUACUCUGUUUAAUGCCAAUAAUUUCUGUGCCUAUAUGAUUGAUGCAAGACGUCUUUUCUUAUAAUGUCAGUAAAAGGAACCAACCCAUCCUUUUUUAGUGUGUCGGUGGGGUUAAUAUAUAUAGAUUAGGCCUUAACUAACACCAAAACCAUACAUUGUGUUGAGGAGAACAAAAAAGUUGACGUCAAAAUUGAGUAUAUAUGUGGCUGAACUCAUCAAAUCAACCCACCCUAUUACAGAUGAGUUCAAAUCAAACCGAACAGACUGAAGCUCUAAAAGGCUAUCUAAGUUGAAUUGCAAACAAUAAAGUCUACCCAAAAUGAUUUUCUUUAAUUUUCUCUGCUAAAGAUUCACAUGAUUGGCUGAGGCAGGCAUGGUACUGGCUAAUUGUUGUUUGUUGUGUAUAGUAUUAUUAUAUGAAGGUUCCCAUACAACACGCAGGAAAAUUCCUCCAAUAGAAUAUCCAUGUGUUUAUCUGUCCUGUUUCUGUCGCUACUCAGCUUCCAUUAUUCACAUCUUCAAACCAUUCGCUUCCCAUUCCCUUCCCCUUCUGCUUUGGCAUGUGCAAUGUGAAAGAGCUUGAUGAUUGUUCCU